AGCAAGCAACUUUUAAACUUUACCCAUAAUAAAGAAAAUUUUCAAAAUAUUCAGUAUUUUAUAAAAACCCUAUAUUCACCUUACAUACCGCAAGGGUUAAUACUCUAGCCUUUCAAAGAAAUGAUAAUCUCAUGUCCCUUUUGCAUCAUGGAGAAGCAACAAAAAUAUAGCAAAGUUAAUCUCCCGAAUGACUAUGAGCUACUAACUCUUAAAAAUCAAUGUUUCAUAAUUGAUAAAGUAACCUUUAGUAGAAGUAACAAGCCUUUCAUAUAGUCCUAUAGCUGGUUUUUCUUUAAAAGCAUCAUAGUACUGUUUUAUAGUAUAAGUGAACAUCGCAACGCUAUAAAAUUUAGUUUAUUGAGGAUUAGCUCAACAAACACAUAAAAAUAUCUUAUCAUUUCACUUUUUUAAGUAGACUUAAAAGCAGCCACCACAUAACGUUUUAGUUACCAAUCCCUUAUUCACCCAAUAUUCAUAUCCAUCAUUUUAACCAUAAAGAAAUUUAACACAAAAUUCCCCGUGUUAGUAUACAGGCAUUCUAUUAGUAUUAGUUAAAAUUAUUACUUUUCACAACCUUUAAAAAACUUGAAACAUUAACAUUUUUACUUAUCGUUAAUCAUACAAAGCGAACUCGGCAAUAUAAGUAUUCCUUGCCUGUUUACCAAAAACAUCGUCUUUCGAACCAUUCUGAUGGAAGAUAAUGCCUGCCCAGUGAAAUAUUUAAACGGCCGCGUUAGCGUGAGCGUGCUAAGGUAGCGUAAUAAUUAGCCUUUUAAUUGAAGGCCAGUGAAUGGCAAGACUAGGAAUAACUGUACUUUGUAUGUAAAAAAAACUUUUCAUCUAAGUGAAAAGACUUAGAUAACGAAGGAAGACGAAAAGACCCCGCGGAACUUUACCUUCUCUUAUUCCUCUGUCUACAAACUUAAAAGUCUAUAAGGUUUGAUUGGGGCAAUCUUGGAACCAACAAAGCUUCCAACCUUCUUUUAAAAAUAUUUAAAAUUUAUUAAGGACCAAAAAGUAGUUACCCCGGGGAUAACAGCGUAAUCCAACUCAAGAGUACACAUCGAAAGUUGGGUUUGCGACCUCGAUGUUGGCUUAAGGACAUCCACAUAAGUGCAACCGCUAUGACAGGAUAGUCUGUUCGACUAUUAUACCCUUACACGAGCUGAGUUAAGACCGGCGCAAGCUAGGUUGGUUUCUAUCUCCUUUAUUCCCAAGCCUUUUCUUGAUUGUACGAAAGGACCCCAAGAAGUGCAUUUAAUAAAAGCAUUUAUUAAACACUCAUUAAAUUUAACCAUAAUGAAG
RNAcentral lists this ribosomal RNA (1305 nucleotides) under Pseudocuneopsis sichuanensis. Its description in RNAcentral is "16S ribosomal RNA". The stretch from base 865 to 1208 matches the Rfam family "Archaeal large subunit ribosomal RNA", at positions 2150 to 2716 of the family's 2987-position model. The record is from RNAcentral. Lineage: Eukaryota; Metazoa; Mollusca; Bivalvia; Unionida; Unionidae.